UGGGGAAUAUUGCACAAUGGGCCCAAGCCUGAUGCAGCCAUGCCGCGUGUAUGAAGAAGGCCUUCGUGUUGUAAAGUACUUUCAGCGGGGAGGAAGGGAGUAAAGUUAAUACCUUUGCUCAUUGACGUUACCCGCAGAAGAAGCACCGGCUAACUCCGUGCCAGCAGCCGCGGUAAUACGGAGGGUGCAAGCGUUAAUCGGAAUUACUGGGCGUAAAGCGCACGCAGGCGGUUUGGUAAGUCAGAUGUGAAAUCCUCGGGCUCAACCUGGGAACUGAAUCUGAUACUGGCAAGCUUGAGUCUCGUAGAGGGGGGUAGAAUUCCAGGUGUAGCGGUGAAAUGCGUAGAGAUCUGGAGGAAUACCGGUGGCGAAGGCGGCCCCCUGGACGAAGACUGACGCUCAGGUGCGAAAGGGUGGGGAGCAAACAGG
This 429-nucleotide ribosomal RNA is filed under the name Chloroflexota bacterium. Its description in RNAcentral is "Chloroflexi bacterium partial 16S ribosomal RNA". It matches the Rfam family "Bacterial small subunit ribosomal RNA", at positions 355 to 776 of the family's 1533-position model. The record is from RNAcentral. Lineage: Bacteria; Bacillati; Chloroflexota.